CCCACCCUUUGUCUACGUGUACCUCUAUAGCUUCCUCGGCGGGCUCGCCCGCCGCCAGGAACCCACGAAACCCCUUGCAUUAUACACGAAAACUUCUGAUAACAAACCUAAAUUAUUACAACUUUCAACAAUGGAUCUCUUGGUUCUGGCAUCGAUGAAGAACGCAGCGAAAUGCGAUAAGUAGUGUGAAUUGCAGAAUUCAGUGAAUCAUCGAAUCUUUGAACGCACAUUGCGGCCAUAGGUAUUCCUUUGGCCAUGCCUGUUCGAGCGUCAUUUACACCCUCAAGCCUAGCUUGGUGUUGGGCGUCUGUCCCGCCGAUUUCGCGCGCGGACUCGCCUCAAAGUCAUUGGCGGCGGUCGUGCCGGCUCCUCGCGCAGCACAUUUGCGCUUCUCGGAGGCCCGGCGGAUCCGCGCUCCAGCAAAGACCUUUCAUGACUUGACCUCGGAUCAGGUAGGGAUACCCGCUGAACUUAAGCAUAUC
Molecule: ribosomal RNA, 482 nt
Filed under: Dothideomycetes sp. 12H0209
Lineage: Eukaryota; Fungi; Ascomycota; Dothideomycetes
Description: eukaryotic LSU rRNA
Rfam family: 5.8S ribosomal RNA (bases 120-273)
Source: RNAcentral